AAUUGUGAUGCUCAGGUAAAUGUAUAUAAGUACUCUUGCGCCAAUAUAUCCUUUUGCUUAAGACCUACAAGUGAAAAUAGAAAUUAGUAUUCCUCCCCUUCCCUUCAGCAUCUAUGUUCUCGACUUUCCACCUCACUGAGCUCUAUCAGCAGCAGCAACAGCAACAGCAACAACAACUCUGCAACCUCCAAGGCCCCAAAAUUUAACAAGAGAUAAAAUUAAAAUUCGUAGAUUUAAAGCAAUCUCUUUCACUUUCUUCAAACCAACCCUUCUAAUCAAAUCUCCCUUCAAAUUCAAUGCCCCUACCAGCUCAGACAACUACUAAAGAACUCUGACAGGGACUUUUGGGUGAUGCCCAUGUGACCCAUCCUUUUAUGUGCAAUCUAAAACUUUCAAUAUUUCUCCUCCUUAUACAAGUAACAACAUUGUUUUUGUGUUCUUGAAUGAUAUCAACUACUUCGUUUCAAUAACCUAAACGAAUCUUGGUCUAAAAAAGAAAAUUAACCUAAUCGAACUUGAUUAUUGAGAUUUACAACUACUAGUUUCUAAGAGUGAUCUUAUUUAUCACUUCGUUGGCCAACUUGUCAGUAAUUUAGCCAUUGAAGAUUUCCAUUAUCUGCAGCAAACGCAAAUACACAAACAACAAAUGGAAGAAACAAUAUGUACAGGUGACUGUAGCACUAGCUGGUUCUAAACCCCAAACUACUAUCCCACGCAGAACCAAACUCAUGUCACCAAGAACCAAACUUAACAAACUCAGUCCAUAAGAACCAGGGAUCGGAACAAGAACCCUUAAAGCACAAAAUUUUCUUUCCAAUCUGCUCUAGCCACCAUUAGAAAAGAAAACAUUAGGAUAGUCUAUUACCUCUUCGCUGUAUUUCUAAUCGAAGACUCCAAAAUAAACAUUAGGAUGAUGUUGACGACUGACGAUGCGUUGAGGCCUCAAGCGUACAGAUAGAGGAGAUGGAAUGAAAUUAUUUUAUGCUAUUUUGAUUUUUCA
This 1000-nucleotide long non-coding RNA is filed under the name Linum usitatissimum (flax). RNAcentral describes it as "long non-coding RNA (LUSI_LNC004941)". Lineage: Eukaryota; Viridiplantae; Streptophyta; Magnoliopsida; Malpighiales; Linaceae. The record is from RNAcentral.